CGAUGAUGCAUAGCCGAGUUGAGAGACUGAUCGGCCACAUUGGGACUGAGACACGGCCCAAACUCCUACGGGAGGCAGCAGUAGGGAAUCUUCCACAAUGGACGCAAGUCUGAUGGAGCAACGCCGCGUGAGUGAAGAAGGUUUUCGGAUCGUAAAGCUCUGUUGUUGGUGAAGAAGAUAGAGGUAGGUAACUGGCCUUUAUUUGUACGGUAAUCAACCAGAAAGUCACGGGCUAACUACGUGCCAGCAGCCGCGGUAAAU
Molecule: ribosomal RNA, 261 nt
Filed under: uncultured Lactobacillus sp.
Lineage: Bacteria; Bacillati; Bacillota; Bacilli; Lactobacillales; Lactobacillaceae
Description: partial 16S ribosomal RNA
Rfam family: Bacterial small subunit ribosomal RNA
Source: RNAcentral